AAUACAUUGUGACCAAGUUUAAGUGUAAGGUUCGUUGAAUUUUUUCCCCAAAUGGUUAGACUUAAAUCGUUAGAAGCUCUGUGAAAAAUUGAAAAUAAAUUGGUUCGUUUUGGAAACCAGAUAUUGUUAAUUGAGUGAAAAAAAUUUAACUAAAAAAAUAACAAAAAGUCUGGACAUAAAGUUUAGAAAACGAAUGGGAAAAAAAACAAAUUAAAUAUAGAAAUUAUUAAAAGAAUAAAAUAAAUAAAAUAAAUAAACUUGUGCAAUAAUUUAACACAACAACCACAACUGUAUAAAGUGUAUAAAAAGCGUAUUUAAAGAGGUGCCUUUUAAAGGCCUUCCAAGAAAAAGAAAUAGAAUCCUAACAAAAUACGCAACACAUCAAA
This is a long non-coding RNA of Lucilia cuprina (Australian sheep blowfly), 386 nucleotides long. RefSeq lists it as uncharacterized. The transcript has 2 exons. NCBI's taxonomy places the organism in Eukaryota, Metazoa, Arthropoda, Insecta, Diptera, Calliphoridae. The record is from RefSeq and is a predicted model, not a curated record.